Paramuricea clavata is the source of this 1614-nucleotide non-coding RNA. The record is from the annotation of a GenBank genome assembly. NCBI's taxonomy places the organism in Eukaryota, Metazoa, Cnidaria, Anthozoa, Malacalcyonacea, Plexauridae.
GCAUACACAAUUUUUAACAAGAUAUGAAUCCUCGUCGCCCGUUAAACUUUCGAAGUUCCAGCUGAAGAGGAAUACAAGAACAAAUGAAGACGAAGUCCAUAUCAACAAAAGAUCAAAGGUGGACGACACAGAGGAAUCCGAUGUGUCUUUCGACAUAAAAGUUUUGCGGCCAACAGAGAAAUGUAAACCUGGCAUCACUACUGUGUGUGAUGUAUUGCAAGAAGAUACCAAUUCGGUUGUGAAUGUUUGUGGUCGUAUUACCCUGCAAGGUCCAAUACAAACCAUUAUGUCUAAGGGCAAGGCACUACGGAAACAAGAGGCAGUAUUGACGGAUAAUUCAGCAACUAUCCGCCUUGUGCUGUGGGAAAAUGAUAUAUCCAAAGUUUCGUCAGAAUCCACAUAUGAUAUAUCGAAAGUGGUGCUUAAGGAAUACGAGAAGGCAAAGUAUCUUACCUUAAAUAAGUCAUCUACCAUCAAGAUAUCGCAAAAGUCAAUAAGCAGGCUAGAUACCCCAUCAACAGAAGUGUUAUCGAACACACAAUGUGUUACGUUAUAAUUCAGCAACUAUCCGCCUUGUGCUGUGGGAAAAUGAUAUAUCCAAAGUUUCGUCAGAAUCCACAUAUGAUAUAUCGAAAGUGGUGCUUAAGGAAUACGAGAAGGCAAAGUAUCUUACCUUAAAUAAGUCAUCUACCAUCAAGAUAUCGCAAAAGUCAAUAAGCAGGCUAGAUACCCCAUCAACAGAAGUGUUAUCGAACACACAAUGUGUUACGUUCCCGGCGAACGGAGUUUUAUCUUUGCAACGAUUUUCAUCUUGUCUAAGAUGUCAAUCAAAAUUGGUACCAAAUGCCUCCAAAAAAACUGUAAAGUGCACCGAAUGUGGUCUGGGACAACUUCAAGCUAGCUGUCAACAGCGUUUGUUGGCAAAUGUUUUAUUUCAGAAGGGAGCAAGUUCAAACAGUUUGCUGCUGUUUGAUGACAAACUAAAACAAUUAUUCAAAAUCUACCAAGAGCAGACUAAUAACACGCAAACUUUUGAAAGUCUAGAUGAUGAAUUGAUGAUGAUAUGAUGGAAUUUUUGUUAACCGUGGCUGCGAAAGUGUUCUAUAAUGGAAAAAAGAAUGUGGUUGCUAUUCAGAAAAUUUAACAUUGAAAUUGAACUUGUAGUCGCAUAUAUAUAUAUAUAUAUUGUAUACUUUACGUUAUAUGCAUAUUCUAUUGCCAGUGCUGGGACAGUGGACACUUAAUUCCUAUCGCACUUCUAUUUAAAGUUCAUUACUGUUUUGUUGCCUGUUAAGGUGUUUUGUUGGGUUAAAUAGAUAAAAAUGAAAGACUGUACAUGUGUCUCUAAUAUUUUUUGUUUGUCCACACUUAGCUUUGAUAGUUUGUAGAGUGGCCCUGUCUGGGCCAACAUUUUAUAUUGGGAAGUGGGAUAGGAGUGCGCAACCAAAAGAAACAAAUUGUCACCUGUCUUGCAAUUAUUUAGAAGCAUUCUAACAAUUACCUCACCCACCCACUAACGGUCCUUGACUUGCUAGAGAAUUUUCAGUCCAUAUAUUUUUCUAACGUAAUCUAUUUCAUAGCUAAAAUGGCUCCCGCAGCAUUCCCUACCUUGCA